UCUUUUUCAAGUGAAGAAAUGAUCUCAUGCUCCAAUAGCAGUCUCUCCUAUGAGGAAGAAGUAUAACUGAGGUGUUCCUAUGCCACAUAUCAUGAUACAUGAGAGGGAAAUUGGACAUAGUUUAUGUAUGCGACAACAGCAACAAGAAUUUUAUUAGCACAAGUAUGGAAAACAGAAAACGCCAACAAAGGAAGCAGUGCAAGCCAAGCUUAUGGACUACGCGGAACUGGCUAAGCUGACAGAGAGAAUACAUGAGAGAGACAACAUCGAUUUCAAAAAAGAGUGGGAACCAUUUAUAAACUAUAGAAAAAGACAGUAUAAAGAUAUGGACUCUUUGCCAGGUUUUGACAACUAUAUAAGAAGCAAAAUCAGCAGAGUAUAGAAUUUGUUUAAUAAAUCAAUACGGAAAUAUGGGGGAAGCCAAAGAGGAGGGAGGGGAGACAUACAGAUAUAGAAAUUGUUCAAUUAAGAUUUGUGGAAAUUUGUUGUUAUAAUUUGAAAAUUCAAUAAAAAUAUUUUUUUAAAAAAUG
Podarcis muralis (Common wall lizard) is the source of this 530-nucleotide non-coding RNA. Lineage: Eukaryota; Metazoa; Chordata; Lepidosauria; Squamata; Lacertidae. The record is from RefSeq and is a predicted model, not a curated record.